CCUACGGGAGGCAGCAGUAGGGAAUCUUCCACAAUGGGCGCAAGCCUGAUGGAGCCACGCCGCGUGAGUGAAGACGGUCUUCGGAUCGUAAAACCUUGUUUUUAGAGAAGAAAGUGCGUGAGCGUAACUGUUCACGUUUCGACGUUAUCUAACCAGAAAGCCACGGCUAACUACGUGCCCGCAGCCGCGGUAAUACGGAGGUGGCGAGCGUUAUCCGGAUUUAUUGGGUUGAAAGGGAACGCAGGCGGUCUUUUAAGUCUGAUGUUAAAGGCUUCGGCUUAACCGUAGUAGUGCAUUGGAUACUGGGAGACUUGAGUGCAGAAGAGGAGGGCGGAACUCGAUGUGUAGCGGUGAAAUGCGUAGAUAUAAGGAAGAACACC
Molecule: ribosomal RNA, 380 nt
Filed under: uncultured bacterium
Lineage: Bacteria
Description: partial 16S ribosomal RNA
Rfam family: Bacterial small subunit ribosomal RNA
Source: RNAcentral